CAUACACUGCCCCCUAACACACACACUGCACCCCUGACAUACACUGCUGCCCUCACGCACUCACACACACCUCACCGCUCACACACUACACCCCCCACACACACAUACUGCACCUUUCACACAUUGCACUCCUCACACAUACCACUGCUCAUAUGCCCUAUAUCCCAGCAGACCCCAGGUAAGUUGUCAAACUGUUCUUAAAUGGUUUGGCAAUUUACUCUGGGAUGGGGUUCUGGCACUACUGGC
Molecule: non-coding RNA, 246 nt
Organism: Pelobates cultripes (western spadefoot toad)
Lineage: Eukaryota; Metazoa; Chordata; Amphibia; Anura; Pelobatidae
Source: the annotation of a GenBank genome assembly